AAAAGGCGGCGUAAGCUGUCGCUAAAGGAUGGACCCGCAGUGCAUUAGCUAGUUGGUAAGGUAACGGCUUACCAAGGCGACGAUGCAUAGCCGAGUUGAGAGACUGAUCGGCCACAUUGGGACUGAGACACGGCCCAAACUCCUACGGGAGGCAGCAGUAGGGAAUCUUCCACAAUGGGCGAAAGCCUGAUGGAGCAACGCCGCGUGAGUGAAGAAGGUUUUCGGAUCGUAAAGCUCUGUUGUUGGUGAAGGAGGAUAGAGGUAGUAACUGGCCCCUAUUUGACGGUAAUCAACCAGAAAGUCACGGCUAACUACGUGCCAGCAGCCGCGGUAAUACGUAGGUGGCAAGCGUUGUCCGGAUUUAUUGGGCGUAAAGCGAGCGCAGGCGGAAAGAUAAGUCUGAUGUGAAAGCCCCCGGCUUAACCGAGGAAUUGCAUCGGAAACUGUGUUUCUUGAGUGCAGAAGAGGAGAGUGGAACUCCAUGUGUAGCGGUGGAAUGCGUAGAUAUAUGGAAGAACACCAGUGGCGAAGGCGGCUCUCUGGUCUGUAACUGACGCUGAGGCUCGAAAGCAUGGGUAGCGAACAGGAUUAGAUACCCUGGUAGUCCAUGCCGUAAACGAUGAGUGCUAAGUGUUGGGAGGUUUCCGCCUCUCA
Molecule: ribosomal RNA, 654 nt
Filed under: uncultured bacterium
Lineage: Bacteria
Description: bacterial SSU rRNA
Rfam family: Bacterial small subunit ribosomal RNA
Source: RNAcentral